UGCGUAGGGCGUGUUUCAUAACGAUCUUGGGAAAACUCACACCUUUCAGGCGCGCCGUGCGAAUGUACUGCGCGGUCAUGACUUCUGUCAUGGAGGCGCGCGUCAUUCGGGCGAUGUAUCCCAUGCCGUACAAUGCGAUGGUCAUAACAGGCAGGAAGAAGUUCCAGAAUGUGGCGUCC
RNAcentral lists this non-coding RNA (179 nucleotides) under Ascidiaceihabitans donghaensis. Its description in RNAcentral is "Ruegeria cis52 sRNA". It matches the Rfam family "Ruegeria cis52 sRNA". Rfam says of the family: Cis-encoded. Targets oligo/dipeptide ABC transporter. Lineage: Bacteria; Pseudomonadati; Pseudomonadota; Alphaproteobacteria; Rhodobacterales; Paracoccaceae. The record is from Rfam by way of RNAcentral.